ACAUCAAGCCUGGGGGACAAGGGAAGAAGUGAGUUCAAGUUCAAUUACUUCAUCUGCUUAUUCCGGUCAUUCUUCUCCAGGCCACUAUGCAGAGCAUCUACUGAGGACUGAGAGCAAAUACAACACAGCAUGAGAUUUUGGGCAAGACAGAUGGUUCGGGCAUGGUUUCCUGCAAAUCUUACUUUUGGCACAGCCAGGAUGCCUUAGGAAGAAUUUCAAGUGAAUUUCCAGACUUUUCUGGAAAAUGCUCAUCCUGCUUCCCUCUCUCCUCUGGCUUCAGGGCUCCCAGGGAUUCCUUUCCCCUCAACUGUCAGGAGGGACAGCGCUGAGGCCAUGCUGAGGUGGACAGAGUGGUGCUCCCCAUGCUGCCAGCUCUGCUGCAGUGUGUGUGGCUAAUGCUGAGUACCAGGCAUUGUGUUUUGGUGGAGCUGGGCCAGAAAGGAAGAAAAAAAACCAUAAAAUCAUGGAAUCAUUAAAGUUGGAAAAGGCCUCUAAGAUCUAGUCCAGCUAUUAACCCAGCGCU
This 523-nucleotide long non-coding RNA is filed under the name Manacus vitellinus (golden-collared manakin). Its description in RNAcentral is "lncRNA (ENSMVIG00005015125.1)". Lineage: Eukaryota; Metazoa; Chordata; Aves; Passeriformes; Pipridae. The record is from RNAcentral.